Molecule: ribosomal RNA, 425 nt
Filed under: uncultured bacterium
Lineage: Bacteria
Description: partial 16S ribosomal RNA
Rfam family: Bacterial small subunit ribosomal RNA
Source: RNAcentral
GUGGGGAAUAUUGGGCAAUGGGGGAAACCCUGACCCAGCAACGCCGCGUGAAGGAAGAAGGUUUUCGGAUCGUAAACUUCUAUCCUUGGUGAAGAUAAUGACGGUAGCCAAGAAGGAAGCCCCGGCUAACUACGUGCCAGCAGCCGCGGUAAUACGUAGGGGGCAAGCGUUGUCCGGAAUGAUUGGGCGUAAAGGGCGCGUAGGCGGCCUGGUAAGUCUGGAGUGAAAGUCCUGCUUUUAAGGUGGGAAUUGCUUUGGAUACUGUCGGGCUUGAGUGCAGGAGAGGUAAGCGGAAUUCCCGGUGUAGCGGUGAAAUGCGUAGAGAUCGGGAGGAACACCAGUGGCGAAGGCGGCUUACUGGACUGUAACUGACGCUGAGGCGCGAAAGUGUGGGGAGCAAACAGGAUUAGAAACCCCGGUAGUCC